UACGGAGGGUGCGAGCGUUGUCCGGAAUCAUUGGGCGUAAAGGGCGCGUAGGUGGUGGCUUAAGCGUGCGGUGAAAGCUCGGAGCUCAACUCCGAGUCGGCCGUGCGAACUGGGCUCACUGGAGCAUAGUAGAGGCAGGUGGAAUUCCGGGUGUAGCGGUGAAAUGCGUAGAGAUCCGGAGGAACACCAGUGGCGCAGGCGGCUCUCUGGGUCGGCCCUGACGCUGAGGCGCGAAAGCGUGGGGAGCGAACGGG
RNAcentral lists this ribosomal RNA (254 nucleotides) under uncultured bacterium. Its description in RNAcentral is "partial 16S ribosomal RNA". It matches the Rfam family "Bacterial small subunit ribosomal RNA", at positions 524 to 776 of the family's 1533-position model. The record is from RNAcentral.